GAUGAACGCUGGCGGCGUGCUUAACACAUGCAAGUCGAACGAUGAAGCCCAGCUUGCUGGGUGGAUUAGUGGCGAACGGGUGAGUAACACGUGAGUAACCUGCCCUUAACUCUGGGAUAAGCCUGGGAAACUGGGUCUAAUACCGGAUAGGAGCGUCCACCGCAUGGUGGGUGUUGGAAAGAUUUAUCGGUUUUGGAUGGACUCGCGGCCUAUCACCUUGUUGGUGAGGUAAUGGCUCACCAAGGCGACGACGGGUAGCCGGCCUGAGAGGGUGACCGGCCACACUGGGACUGAGACACGGCCCAGACUCCUACGGGAGGCAGCAGUGGGGAAUAUUGCACAAUGGGCGCAAGCCUGAUGCAGCGACGCCGCGUGAGGGAUGACGGCCUUCGGGUUGUAAACCUCUUUCAGUAGGGAAGAAGCGAAAGUGACGGUACCUGCAGAAGAAGCACCGGCUAACUAUGUG
RNAcentral lists this ribosomal RNA (466 nucleotides) under uncultured bacterium. Its description in RNAcentral is "partial 16S ribosomal RNA". It matches the Rfam family "Bacterial small subunit ribosomal RNA", at positions 28 to 507 of the family's 1533-position model. The record is from RNAcentral.